Gorilla gorilla gorilla (western lowland gorilla) is the source of this 2687-nucleotide long non-coding RNA. RefSeq lists it as uncharacterized. The transcript has 5 exons. The record is from RefSeq and is a predicted model, not a curated record. NCBI's taxonomy places the organism in Eukaryota, Metazoa, Chordata, Mammalia, Primates, Hominidae.
UGUCAACCUAACUUUAUAUUUCUUUUGUAUGUUCAGCCUCCUUUCACAGAGACUGAAUUUCAAUCAGCUGCUAUCAGUUGACAAUGAUAAAAUUAUCUCUAUAUGGGCAAAUGCGUGCUUUUUGUCGAAAAAGAAACUUCAGCUUCAUGUUCCAGCCUGUCAGCUGAGCAAAGGAGGGAAACUCAGGAUGGAGAACUCCUCCCCCUCCAUCCAUAAGUGGCACACCACCGGCCUCCUGGUGUUAUUAAAGGAAAAUUGGAAAAGUUUCCAGAAGAUUAAGCAGAAAGCUUACAACUUGCACAAGACUCUCAAUUUUCCAGUGGCUCUGACAGAAGGAUAAAUCUUCGGCUGUUUUAACUAAAAUGGACGGUCAAGUUGGUAUCCAUCGUGAAGCUAAAUGAAUAUCUGGACAGGAGUCAGACAAAGGGAAGGAGAAUCCAGGGGAAGAUGAAGCAGCUGCAGGCCUGUCUGCUACCCUACAUCUGGGGAAGAGCCAGAAAUUGCUGACCAUAGAGAGUUACAUUGUCCAGCUUUUCCUCCACGAAAUGGAGCAGCAACAAAAGGCCAGAUCAUUCAACCUAUGCUUCCUCAAGUCUGAUAACAUUAGCGUUUCUCUCAGAUAUCAGUUGAAGUAAGGAGUUGCCAAUAGAAGCAAAGGAGUCCUGAGAGAAGCUGAGGGCUUCAAGCAAUGAGAUUUGAGCCUACCUCCCUUCAUCAAAAGUGCAGCUAGAGAAACUUGGAGAAGCAACCAGAACGGGAGUUGGGAAGGUAAUACUUUUACAUCAAAACAACACUAGCUUUAUUGGCUGUAAUAAGAGCAAAGUAUGUAAGUAGAAAUGAUAUUAAUCUGUCAUGCAUAUCACUUCUCAAGUGGUUCCUCAACAAUAGUGUUAAUCAAGCUUUGCCCUACUUUUAUCGGAAACCUGGUGAAGAAUAGCUUUGACAUUUAUCAGACAUAGGACACUAAGAAAAUUGCCGUAUGUAUAAGUAAAUUUAUGCCUUGAAAAUGUUUGUGCCAUGCUCUGGGAAAGGGGGUCAGGAACAAAUGAGAGGGUAGAGGUAGAAGGGAAAGGUCUGCAGAAUGUGGAGGUGAGAAGGAAAGAAGAAAAGGGUUGGGCAUGGAGGGAGGUAACGUCGGGGCUAAACCUAAUAGGCCUGGGGAGCCUCCAGAGAUUCAGGCAGUUAAGUUUCUCUCCUUUUUUUUUUUCCUGGUGUUCUCAUUUUCAUUUGGGUGGCUUUGGGCAAGUCUUUCUGAAUCUCAGAUGGUGCUAACACUUUCAUCCAACUGAGGAAUCAAUAAGAUGACACGCUUAAAAGUGUUUUGCUAACUAUAAAGUGAUACACUAAUGUUAUUUAGAGCAAGGGAGAAAAAGUAGAGAGCAUCUAAUAACUUACAAUGCUAUUAUGGUAAAAAAAAAAAAAAAGUUUGUCCACAGGAUACACAAAGAUGAAUGAGUAAAAAGUGAUUCAUCAAUUAUCCCAACCUAGAAAGACUCAGCCAAGGAUGGGCAAAAUACUAAAUUCCUCUCUUAGCUAUAUAUGGAAUAGGUCAGGGAGAGGGUUUAUUUUACUGCUCUCCUUCUUAUAAAUGUGGGGUUCAGAAUUGAACAGUUGUUCCAUCAACCAUGACCCUAAAAAGCUGGGUAUGCUAGGAAUCUAGGAGAAGAGAUUCAAAUGUAUUUUCACUUGGAUAUAAAAAUGGGGAGGAAAAGCCACAGUGGUGACAUGUCAUUUUGCAUACCUCAGAAUUCCAGAGAUCCCUAGCUUUCGAUUCUGUGCAGGCUCUUUGUGGUACUGGCUGUAUCAGCUGCUCUUGACCAUGAACCAGAGCAUCUUGGAGAGGAGCUGCUAAGUGCCUACUGAGUCUGUAGCAUGGAAAACAUGUCUGCAACGUUAAUGGAGAGCUCUGGUUUCUGGGGCUGAGAGAUUUCAAUCACUGAUAUUGUCAGUGAGUGAGGGUGGCAGGGGCCAUGGUGUAUGCUUGUCUGGAAUAAAGAAUAUCAGUUUUGAAAAAAAAAUCAAAAAACAAAAACAAAAACAAAAACAACCUUGCUGAGUAGGUGCCAGGUCUGGUUGUGAGCCAUUAGUAGGUGUGUAAGCGGACUGGAGCUGGGCCGACUUCCCCCGACGCAACAGGGAGCCCUCCUGCAGGGCCAGGCAGCUCACCACAGCACCACUGCUCAGAAACAGGAGGUUAAUUAGCCCAGCACUUAAUGAGAGCGUCUGGAGGAACUGUUAAGAAAAUACUAAAAAAUAAAUGAGAUGGAGAAACGAUGGAAGGAAGGCAUAGACAUGCUCCGAAAUGGCUGGUAGAAGAAAUAAUAUGGCUGAGACAAAUUGAGAAUGACUGAGCAGCUGAAGCCUGGACCCAGUGCUGCUGAAGGGGCACCCUCUUAAUGAACAAGCAGUGCAGAGAUGGAGGAACUUAUGAAGCUUGGCAGCUAUGGUGGUGGUGAAGUGUGUGUGCAUAUGUGUGUGUGUGUUGGGGGUAGGGUAGAAUGGGAGAUAGGGUUUCUUUUCAUUUUAAGGACUUUGGAAUCACAAGACUUCUAAAUCAAAGAAAUUAUUAUCUUCUAUCCCUAGGAUCAUUUCUAUUUAUUUCAUAUUAAGCUUGGCACUUAUCAAAAAUAAAUAUUUGUGGAAUAAAUGAGUGGAUUAAAAAAAUGAGUUUUGUUAAUUCAAUGCCA